RNAcentral lists this long non-coding RNA (494 nucleotides) under Dromaius novaehollandiae (emu). Its description in RNAcentral is "lncRNA (ENSDNVG00000011830.1)". Lineage: Eukaryota; Metazoa; Chordata; Aves; Casuariiformes; Dromaiidae. The record is from RNAcentral.
UUCAGGCAGAGUAUGUCUGUGAAGCCAAGGAACGUCCUUGACAGAGGAAGCAGUGCUUACCAGGCAUAAGUAUCUCUGCUGAGGGCACAGCAAAGACCAGCAGACCCUGUCAAUACAGCUAGAAAGAUGUGCCCUUUGGUGCUACAGAGRGGGUUAACUCUUCUGUGUAAGAGAUCAAUGCCAAGUCAAAAGUGCUGUCAUUUCAGACUGUGGAACAUGCUGGAUUUCAUCUUAUGGAGUAUCUUUGUUCUGGGAAUGUUGCAAAUAAAGGAUUCUAGGAUGAGAUGGCUGCAGGUGGGACAGACUCAGCUCUACACGGAGUUUAUUUGUCUGCAGCUUGCAGGAGACAAAAGAGAGGUUGCUGGGCUGGAGGAGAGACGAAGAAGUCAGUCAGUCAGCCAGCCAUAUUCCUAAAGGAACCUGUAAAAAGAAAGACUUUUAAGCAUGAAGAAAGGAGGAGGAUGCAGAAAAAUAAAACGUGUGUGGCCAUACCA